CCUACGGGGGGCAGCAGUGGGGAAUAUUGCACAAUGGGGGAAACCCUGAUGCAGCGACGCCGCGUGAGUGAAGAAGUAAUUCGUUAUGUAAAGCUCUAUCAGCAGGGAAGAAAAUGACGGUACCUGAGUAAGAAGCCCCGGCUAACUACGUGCCAGCAGCCGCGGUAAUACGUAGGGGGCAAGCGUUAUCCGGAUUUACUGGGUGUAAAGGGAGCGUAGACGGCAGGGCAAGUCUGGAGUGAAAGGCGGGGGCUCAACCCCCGGACUGCUCUGGAAACUGUACGGCGGGAGUGCAGGAGGGGUAG
RNAcentral lists this ribosomal RNA (305 nucleotides) under uncultured bacterium. RNAcentral's name for it is "bacterial SSU rRNA". It matches the Rfam family "Bacterial small subunit ribosomal RNA", at positions 338 to 660 of the family's 1533-position model. The record is from RNAcentral.